CCUACGGGUGGCAGCAGUGGGGAAUUUUGCGCAAUGGGGGAAACCCUGACGCAGCAACGCCGCGUGCGGGACGAAGGCCCUCGGGUCGUAAACCGCUUUCAGCAGGGAAGACCACGACGGUACCUGCAGAAGAAGCUCCGGCUAACUCCGUGCCAGCAGCCGCGGUAAUACGUAGGGGGCGAGCGUUAUCCGGAUUCAUUGGGCGUAAAGCGCGCGUAGGCGGCCGCCUAAGCGGAACCUCAAACCCUGGGGCUCAACCUAGGGCCGGGUUCGGGACUGGGCGGCUUGAGGGCGGUAGAGGAGGGCGGAAUUCCCGGGGUAGCGGUGGAAUGCGCAGAUAUCGGGAAGAACACCGAUGGCGAAGGCAGCUCUCUGGGCCGUCACUGACGCUGAGGCGCGAAAGCUGGGGGAGCGAACAGGAUUAGAUACCCCUGUAGUC
RNAcentral lists this ribosomal RNA (439 nucleotides) under uncultured bacterium. RNAcentral's name for it is "partial 16S ribosomal RNA". It matches the Rfam family "Bacterial small subunit ribosomal RNA", at positions 338 to 795 of the family's 1533-position model. The record is from RNAcentral.